AUACGUAGGUGGCAAGCGUUGUCCGGAAUUACUGGGUGUAAAGGGCGUGUAGGCGGGGAUGCAAGUCCGAUGUGAAAUUCCGGGGCUCAACCCCGGCACUGCAUUUGAAACUGUGGCUCUUGAGUGCUGGAGAGGAAAGCGGAAUUCCUAGUGUAGCGGUGAAAUGCGUAGAUAUUAGGAGGAACACCAGUGGCGAAGGCGGCUUUCUGGACAGUAGCUGACGCUGAGGCGCGAAAGCGUGGGUAGCGAACAGGACUAGAUACCCUGGUAGUCCACGCCGUAAACGAUGGAUACUAGGUGUAGGAGGUAUCGACCCCUUCUGUGCCGGAGUUAACACAAUAAGUAUCCCACCUGGGGAGUACGGCCGCAAGGUUGAAACUCAAAUGAAUUGACGGGG
Molecule: ribosomal RNA, 397 nt
Filed under: uncultured bacterium
Lineage: Bacteria
Description: partial 16S ribosomal RNA
Rfam family: Bacterial small subunit ribosomal RNA
Source: RNAcentral